This is a long non-coding RNA of Heterocephalus glaber (naked mole-rat), 984 nucleotides long. NCBI's taxonomy places the organism in Eukaryota, Metazoa, Chordata, Mammalia, Rodentia, Bathyergidae. The record is from Ensembl.
CCGGGGUGGGACCUUGCCUGGGGGACCUCCUACCCAUCCAGGCUGGGGGCCAAGUACCAGCAGAAGGAGCGAAGCAAAGGCUGUGGGCAGGAAAGACUGGGAAACAGAAGAGAGCACGGGCCUGGGCUUGUAGACCCAGGCACUGCAGAGCAGGCCAUGCCCUCCCUGCCGGCCUCGUGCCUCCUGGCCCAGGCGGCCCUGGCCUGAGUCGACGCCAAGAUGAAGCAGGUUCCUGCCCUAACUGACCCUGACCUGACUAGACGCUACUUGGCAGGGCUCAGCCAGCUGCUGACACUGGAGGUGGAAGGGAACCAGCUGCAUGAUGGAAACAUCUCCCCCCUGGCCUUCCAGCCCCUCCACAGGCUUCUCUACCUGAGGCUGGACCGGAAUCGGCUUUGGGCCAUCCCUCCUGGCCUGCCAGCCUCCCUGCAGGAGCUGCACUUGGGCGCCAACCUCAUCGAGGAGGAGACUGAGUGAGCACUGAGUGGCUGCCACAGCCUCAGCGUGCUGGUCCUCAGCAACAACUGGCUCCAGGAGGGCCGCCUGGUGCCCGGGGCUUGGACUGAUCCGCCCCUCCACCCUGUUCGUGUGUCUCUGGCUUCUCUGGCUCCUAAAAGGACACCUGUCGCUGGGUUUAGGGGGGCAAAGGAAAGCUGACAGCAGCUGGGAGGGGCUGCCCGCCACCACAGGCCUGGCUGCCAGUCAAGCUCUGUCCCUCACUCGCCGCUGGCCUGGCCAGUGCCUGGGCUGCUGAAGACUUUUCUCCUCCUGAAGGGCUGGCCUUGUCCCCAGGGGCUGGGGGAUGUCACUGUCACUGAAAAGAGCCACUUUCCUGGCUCUGACCCAUUCUGCUCUUGGAGACCUGCAGGGACGGGGGCUUUCUUGCCGCUGUGGUGCACAGUGGAGUGACCCAGGGCUCACAGCGGCCUCAGAGAAAGUGGCGACCUGAACUUCACCAUCAGCCUCUCAGCAUCCCUGUGCACC